RNAcentral lists this ribosomal RNA (501 nucleotides) under uncultured bacterium. RNAcentral's name for it is "bacterial SSU rRNA". It matches the Rfam family "Bacterial small subunit ribosomal RNA", at positions 28 to 517 of the family's 1533-position model. The record is from RNAcentral.
GAUGAACGCUAGCUACAGGCUUAACACAUGCAAGUCGAGGGGAAACGAUAGAGAAAGCUUGCUUUUUCUAGGCGUCGACCGGCGCACGGGUGAGUAACGCGUAUCCAACCUGCCCAUCACUUGGGGAUAACCUUGCGAAAGUAAGACUAAUACCCAAUGAUAUCUCUAGAAGACAUCUGAAAGAGAUUAAAGAUUUAUCGGUGAUGGAUGGGGAUGCGUCUGAUUAGCUUGUUGGCGGGGUAACGGCCCACCAAGGCGACGAUCAGUAGGGGUUCUGAGAGGAAGGUCCCCCACAUUGGAACUGAGACACGGUCCAACCUCCUACGGGAGGCAGCAGUGAGGAAUAUUGGUCAAUGGACGAGAGUCUGAACCAGCCAAGUAGCGUGCAGGAUGACGGCCCUAUGGGUUGUAAACUGCUUUUAUAAGGGAAUAAAGUGAGUCUCGUGAGGCUUUUUGCAUGUACCUUAUGAAUAGGACCGGCUAAUUCCGUGCCAGCAGCCG